GAAGGUAUAGCUCAAGAGGUAGAGCGCAUGCUUGACAUGCGCGAGGUCCCAGGUUCAAUCCCCAGCACCUCCU
RNAcentral lists this transfer RNA (73 nucleotides) under Camelus bactrianus (Bactrian camel). It matches the Rfam family "tRNA". Rfam says of the family: Transfer RNA (tRNA) molecules are approximately 80 nucleotides in length. Their secondary structure includes four short double-helical elements and three loops (D, anti-codon, and T loops). Further hydrogen bonds mediate the characteristic L-shaped molecular structure. tRNAs have two regions of fundamental functional importance: the anti-codon, which is responsible for specific mRNA codon recognition, and the 3' end, to which the tRNAs corresponding amino acid is attached (by aminoacyl-tRNA synthetases). tRNAs cope with the degeneracy of the genetic code in two manners: having more than one tRNA (with a specific anti-codon) for a particular amino acid; and 'wobble' base-pairing, i.e. permitting non-standard base-pairing at the 3rd anti-codon position. RNAcentral also lists the same sequence under 1 other name. Lineage: Eukaryota; Metazoa; Chordata; Mammalia; Artiodactyla; Camelidae. The record is from Rfam by way of RNAcentral.